RNAcentral lists this ribosomal RNA (720 nucleotides) under uncultured bacterium. Its description in RNAcentral is "bacterial SSU rRNA". It matches the Rfam family "Bacterial small subunit ribosomal RNA", at positions 66 to 756 of the family's 1533-position model. The record is from RNAcentral.
ACUCUGGUAUUGAUUGGUGCUUGCAUCAUGAUUUACAUUUGAGUGAGUGGCGAACUGGUGAGUAACACGUGGGAAACCUGCCCAGAAGCGGGGGAUAACACCUGGAAACAGAUGCUAAUACCGCAUAACAACUUGGACCGCAUGGUCCGAGUUUGAAAGAUGGCUUCGGCUAUCACUUUUGGAUGGUCCCGCGGCGUAUUAGCUAGAUGGUGGGGUAACGGCUCACCAUGGCAAUGAUACGUAGCCGACCUGAGAGGGUAAUCGGCCACAUUGGGACUGAGACACGGCCCAAACUCCUACGGGAGGCAGCAGUAGGGAAUCUUCCACAAUGGACGAAAGUCUGAUGGAGCAACGCCGCGUGAGUGAAGAAGGGUUUCGGCUCGUAAAACUCUGUUGUUAAAGAAGAACAUAUCUGAGAGUAACUGUUCAGGUAUUGACGGUAUUUAACCAGAAAGCCACGGCUAACUACGUGCCAGCAGCCGCGGUAAUACGUAGGUGGCAAGCGUUGUCCGGAUUUAUUGGGCGUAAAGCGAGCGCAGGCGGUUUUUUAAGUCUAAUGUGAAAGCCUUCGGCUCAACCGAAGAAGUGCAUCGGAAACUGGCAGGCUAGAGUCUUGUAGAGGGGGGUAGAAUUCCAGGUGUAGCGGUGAAAUGCGUAGAGAUCUGGAGGAAUACCGGUGGCGAAGGCGGCCCCCUGGACAAAGACUGACGCUCAGUGCGA